CGUAGUCUCAACCUUACUCUCAAACGUCUUGAGUGGGACACGCACUAGUGUCAAAACUUAAUUUUAAUGUGCGCGCACCAACCUUCCCCAAGCCAGUCGAGCUCUGUGAGGGCGGGGACUUGGGCAAAAUCAAAAAUCACAAAACGCCAAGCAAGAUACUGAACACAGCAGGCUCACGCUAAAGACAAAUAUGAAGGGUCUUUCUGCAAUAACUACACCAAAUUUUUAUCUAAACUAAAUCAGUCUCUUUAGCAUACCCGCUCACAACUCGAACCACUUCCUACCCACGCAACGAACUCCGCACCGACUUAGAAAGUCACUCACCCCAGCGCUAGAGAAAAACAAGGAAGUUUAGACGGCGCGCUAGUGACGUCACACGCACGCGGCGGCCCAGGUCUUACGCAUGCGUACACGGUCUCUAGGGCUAAACUUACUGCUCCCAGGCCGUGGAGGACGAACUGCAUGCAUGAUGAUGGUUCCUAGGCCUAAGGUUUCUCUGCAGAGGUGGAGAAGAAAGAAAUUAAAGACGAUCCAUCAAAAAGCUAGAAGGAAUGGAAAAGUCAACAUCACAGAGUUCCCUUGCUGAACACUGAAGGAGAAUAAUGUGCCCAUCUUGAAGAUUCAAUACAUAGAAGUGACAUCUGCCAGCCAUAUCCCAAAGAAACAAUCUAAUUUACAGGAGUCAGGUGUCUGAAAUCUGAGAAGUAUACCACUACUAUAAGAAUUUCUUUACAGACAUACCUCAGAGAUGUUGCCGGUUUGGUUCCAGACCACCACAAAUAAAGUGAAUAUUGCAAUAAAGUAAGUCAAAUGAAUUUUUUGGUUUCCCAGUGCAUAUUAAAGUUAUGUUUACACUGUACUGUAGUCUGUUAAGUGUGCAGUAGCACUGUGUUUAAAAAAACA
This 903-nucleotide long non-coding RNA is filed under the name Ailuropoda melanoleuca (giant panda). Its description in RNAcentral is "lncRNA (ENSAMEG00000031497.1)". The record is from RNAcentral. Lineage: Eukaryota; Metazoa; Chordata; Mammalia; Carnivora; Ursidae.